UCUGAUGUGCAGAUAUACAUGGA
RNAcentral lists this non-coding RNA (23 nucleotides) under Cricetulus griseus (Chinese hamster). The record is from RNAcentral. Lineage: Eukaryota; Metazoa; Chordata; Mammalia; Rodentia; Cricetidae.